CAACAGUAAAGUGCCCCUUUCAAUCCCUAGUACCCCAAACCAAACCAAACAAAAUUUACACAAUAAUUACUGAGAAGUGUGAAACCUUUCUUGAGCUGUUAGAAAGCUCAAAGCCAUAUUUGUUCAAUUAUAGAAACUCCUUCUUCCCAAGUUCUUACUAACCUUAUUUUAUCUUUUAAAAUCUUAGAACAAAAAGAAAACAUAUAUAUUCUUGCAGAAAAAUUGGAGAAUAAAGAGAAACCAGGGAUAACCCAAUGUUUUCUUUUUCCUCUUCUAUUUAUGCCAAAGGAAUGAAACUAGAAAAACCAAAAGCCUCUUGUCCCACAGCAGUCACAACUGACGGGGCUCAAUGAGCAUAAUGCUGUUUUGACCAAUAGGAGUUUACCCUACUAAGAGGUCUCUGCUUCCCGUCUUGCCAACAUAUCAGAGAAAUCCUGCUUUGGGAAGGGUGGUAUAUAUAUAUAUAUAUAUAUAUUUUUUUUUUUUUAAUGAAGGAUUGUGAUGGAUAUUUUAGGACACAAAGAGCAGGAGCCCAGUUGAAGGAAUACUCUUUGUUGACCUUUGUUUUCCACGGAAAGCACUGAUGAGCAACACUUUGACCUGACCUGCCUUCAUUUUUCAGGGCUGGGUUGUGCUGGAAGUCUGAAUAGUCUAGGAUCCCUAGCUGGAGUGGCCUACUUGGUCUUAGUGAGUAAACACAGAAGUCAUUUGCUGACGCUUUUCUGGCUGAGUUCUGUGAGCCCUCUUCAGCUCCUCUGGUUACCUCCCAGGGGAAGAAACUGGAGUGUUCCCCUCUUGGGACACGCUGUCCCAGUGGGCAGGCCUUCUCUAUUCUUAACAAGAAUACUUAAAGUGCAAGUAAAUAACAUUGUUGGACACAGAAGAAUUAUUACAGAAGUCUUGCAUCCUUUCAUGCUCCAUUUGUUGCAAAAAGUGAAACCAUCACUGCAAGAGACUAUAUUUAGGCCCACAGUGUGUCAGAAGGAUGACAUGUUCUAUACAACCUUUUCACCCURUCUGCUUCUAUAUACACAAGCACCUCUGUAUAUGAAYUCCUGGAGGUUCUGUGACUUUUUAAUAUUCCCCAGAGCUACCUUCGAAAACUGUGAGGUCACUUGGAUAGAAGCAGGAUUCAAAUGCAGAGUGUGAACACUCAAGAAGAGAUGCAGACUACAGCAGUUGCUAGCAUCUUUGAGCAUUAACUAUUCUCACUCAGAAUAUGGAGUAUUUAGAUAACAGCUCCUGCAGGAGCCAGGAGGUUUUAGCAACAGAGUUGCCAGUUUACAUUUUAACAACCAUGGGACAAGUCACUCUCUUCUUCCUGCAGUCUAUAACUCUGACCGCUCAGUGGACUUCCUGGGAACAAAUGCAGCUGGAGGAGAUCAAACCCCAGUGUURCUGGUAUGCGGGGCACAAGCUGCCCAGUGCCACUCUUUCUCUGAGGAGCCAAUGAGGUGUUGGUGGUGUUGAGCUCUGAACUAGAGGUCAGGAUAUUUUGGUUGCUAAUUCUAGCUCUGCCACUUCCCUGCCAGGUGACUUCCUURUAUCAGGUGACUGUAUGAGGCCUGCUGCUUCCCUGUGCACAGAAUGAGGGCUGUCCUUGGCRUUACUCCCAGCUGCAGUGUUCUAGAAGACUGAAUUAGCUUUGUCAUCCCAAAUUCUGGAAAUAAGCAGUGAAUGUUUAGAUGAUUAUAUACUUGGGAACUUUGUGUGGAGGUCCCAGACAUUUGGUAUUGGGUGGCAAAAUCUCAGAGCUAUGAAKUUUCACUCAAGUGCAAAGUUCCCAGAACUACUAACUUGUACAAUUUCUCUAAUGUGACAUUCUUUGACAGAUAAUUUUAUCAUGUUGGAGGAUAGUGACUUUUAUUAAACAAGUACUCUUUGAAAUCUUUCAG
RNAcentral lists this long non-coding RNA (1895 nucleotides) under Urocitellus parryii (Arctic ground squirrel). RNAcentral describes it as "lncRNA (ENSUPAG00010016120.1)". The record is from RNAcentral. Lineage: Eukaryota; Metazoa; Chordata; Mammalia; Rodentia; Sciuridae.